AUGACGUCCGAGGAGCGGAGCCAACUCUACGCGGACCUCACCAAGCUAGCCAAGCUCUCUGAAUCUCAUGUGCUCCCUGCUCAUAUCCUGGAGCUGUUGAAGAAGCAGAGCCGCCGCGGCAUCUGCGACGAUUACAUCGAGAUCGAGAUGAACGCCGUCCAAGACGAGGCCCUUGUGGAGAUGCAGAAGCAGCUGGACAAGUUCGUUCGAGAGAGGGCGAAUCCGUCCACGCAUCAGCACAAGAACAUGAUGGCCGAGGAGGAGGACGAAGACGUUGACAUCGUCGGCGGCGUCUCCCCUUUGCCGAUCAGGCCGACACCAGUGCAGCUUGUAGACAUCUGCAGCGAGGCCUCACCUCUGAAGAAUCUUGGCGAAGAUGCAACCAUCAGCGGCAGCAACGGUUUGGUUUCUGGUUCUUCUCACCAGAGCAUCGACAGUCCAGCUCCGGCAGAGCUUGCUGCCAACACUAGGCCUCCAACACGCGACCUCAUCGCCCGUGCCAGCGAGAUUCUGGAAAGGCGGCGAAAGGAGGCGACGUCCCGGGCGAGGGAGAAGGCCCGUCAGCAAGUGCUCGAGAUGGAGAGGACGGCAAUGUUCAACGAGAGCCUAGACGAGGACGUGAAGGUGCUCGGCAUCGAUCAGUACAACACGGCGAGGUCGAACAACUUGUUGCGACAGAUGGGACUCUUCCUGAAGGACAAGGCUGACGACGACGACGACCUGAAGCAGCAGCAGCAGCCGCAGCGUCAAAGCUUCCAAGAAGAUUUAGAGGAAGGGGAGAUUCGGCUGUGA
This 792-nucleotide ribosomal RNA is filed under the name Triticum aestivum (bread wheat). Its description in RNAcentral is "partial small subunit ribosomal RNA". The record is from RNAcentral. Lineage: Eukaryota; Viridiplantae; Streptophyta; Magnoliopsida; Poales; Poaceae.